This 429-nucleotide ribosomal RNA is filed under the name Acidobacteriota bacterium. RNAcentral's name for it is "Acidobacteria bacterium partial 16S ribosomal RNA". It matches the Rfam family "Bacterial small subunit ribosomal RNA", at positions 355 to 776 of the family's 1533-position model. Lineage: Bacteria; Pseudomonadati; Acidobacteriota. The record is from RNAcentral.
UGGGGAAUUUUGGACAAUGGGGGAAACCCUGAUCCAGCCAUCCCGCGUGUGCGAUGAAGGCCUUCGGGUUGUAAAGCACUUUUGGCAGGAAAGAAACGUCAUGGGUUAAUACCCCGUGAAACUGACGGUACCUGCAGAAUAAGCACCGGCUAACUACGUGCCAGCAGCCGCGGUAAUACGUAGGGUGCAAGCGUUAAUUGGAAUUACUGGGCGUAAAGCGUGCGCAGGCGGUUCGGAAAGAAAGAUGUGAAAUCCCAGAGCUCAACUUUGGAACUGCAUUUUUAACUACCGGGCUAAAGUGUGUCAGAGGGAGGUGGAAUUCCGCGUGUAGCAGUGAAAUGCGUAGAUAUGCGGAGGAACACCGAUGGCGAAAGCAGCCACCUGGGAUAACACUGACGCUAAUGCAAGAAAGCGUGGGGAGCAAACAGG